Molecule: long non-coding RNA, 1232 nt
Organism: Camelus dromedarius (Arabian camel)
Lineage: Eukaryota; Metazoa; Chordata; Mammalia; Artiodactyla; Camelidae
Exons: 4
Source: RefSeq, a predicted model, not a curated record
CGAGGGAGCCGCGGAGCCCCGGAGCCACGGAGCCCCGGAGCCCCGGAGCCCCGGAGCCCGGGGACCAGAAGCAGCAACAGAGAUUUCCGUGCUUCUCCCAAGAUCGGGGAGGGGCUGGAGGGGGCACCAAAGUCGCAGGUGCAGAACAGCAGCGAGAUGCCAAUGCCCACCUCAUCGGAGCAGCGUAGGAAGAGAGGUCAGCUGACCGCAGGAUGAAUCUGGCAGCGCGGCAGAGAAGCCGGUGGGCGCCACUGAAUAGGUUUAGAACUAAGGACAACCUGGAAGCAAUGAACACCCAUCCACCACGCACAUCCAGGAUGAAGUCUCUGAAAACGAUUCUCCACUAAAAGGAACCAGCGCUCCUUUCAGGACUAUAUUUGCUAGUGGAGACGCACAAAGAGAGAGAAGCAAGGAUAAGAGGAGGAGAAAAAGAAGUAACUGCCAGCACCAGUACCAGCUGCCUGCCACGGAGCAGGCCCUGCGCUAGGGCUUCAGUGACCUCGUCUCGUUUUAACCCAACAAGGAAGGAAAAAAAGAAGGAACAAAGAGGUUAAAUAAGUUUCCCAAGGUCAUACAACUAAUAAGUCGUGAAGCUGAACCUAAGUCUACGUCACUGGAAAGCCACACUCUGUCCACCAAGCCAAUAAAAUAUAACCAGAUAUUUUUGAUCUGAGCAGGAUCAAAAAACAUUUUGGAAGUCCUGCAAGGAGACUUGUUCACAGCCCCAUUUAUGUUACCAAGUGAACGAAACAUCCAUCAUUCCCUCAAACUCCCCGUGUAUUAUUUACCUACUAAAACAAGGUACUGGUAGAGAGAACAAAGCAGCAGCAUCCAACAAGGUCAGCCCAGCACUGCCAGCUGAACAAAAAAAUUCCACGAUGCCGGAGCCAAUGAGCGAAGCCCUUAGGUAAGGAUUACAGAAGACCAGCUGUGCCCUGCGUGACGCACAGCAGGCAUGCAGGAGUUCAUCAGAGCCUAUGGCGAGACAGGGCUCGGUGGAGCCUCAUAGGGCAGUCCUUUCUGCAUCAACCCACCCUCUAACUCAUCCAGGAAAAAUCUAGGCCACCUUGAAGUUCCCCCAAGAAACUGCAAAUAUGAUUUGUCUCUGAAAACAAUUUGCCAAAUGUGAAACAGGGAACAGGAAGCUGGUUCGUUAGCUGAGAAAGCAACAAACCAAAGGCCCUCUCCAUAGAGAGACAAUGUUAAAUAAAUGAUGAGGACUUGGGGUAUGA